Long non-coding RNA from Tupaia belangeri chinensis (Chinese tree shrew), 554 nucleotides. RefSeq lists it as uncharacterized. The record is from RefSeq and is a predicted model, not a curated record. The transcript has 2 exons. Lineage: Eukaryota; Metazoa; Chordata; Mammalia; Scandentia; Tupaiidae.
ACCUUCUCCGGGUGAACAGUCCAGUCAGAAUUCAGACAUAUUUUUUACUAAACAGAAUUUGUUUUCAUUGGCUCCAAGAGGCUCCGCCCCACCCGGCGAGUAGCCAUUUAGCAGGUUUUCAGUUCUUGAGUGGCAUCUCUCACCUCCGUCCAGUUCACGUAGACAGGACCACUUUUCUCAACAUCUUGAGCGUCCCGGUGUAACUCGCGUCGGUGGUUUUCUUUCCUCGUCUUCCCUUCCCGUUCCUGCUGGAAGCACGUAUUCUGGAGGUUUUUCCACUUACAGAAAGCGCGGGUCGAAGUGGGCUUGAGUCCACCGGCCCCAGGAACUUUAAGGGUUCGGAUUGGAGGUCCUGAGAGCUCCGCCUGGCUUCGUUCUUCCUAUUGUAGAACGUUCUAACCUGAAAUGGUCCUAUUUAACGAACAGGCCUGCACGUCCUUGGCUAAGCAUUCACAUCUUCCUAUUUUGCGUCAGAGAACAUGAACUAUAUCAACACAGGUUUGGGUGAGCAGGAAACAGCCACCUGAAACGACAACCUAUGUUCACGAAUGUUG